GGAAGAACCUUGUUAAAUGGACAGGGAUAACUACUGGAGGUGACAGAAGACACGUGCAGGUUUCAGGAAGGACAGCAGAACUGCCGGUAAAUACGAACCUACCCUUCCCAUUGCAGGUUCGGCGUUUGUGCCCUACCCUUGCCUGCCCAGCCUUCCUUCCUCCUCACACUCGCUGCUACCCACUGACCGAGGCGCUGAGCAGAAGUAGCAAUCGCUUACCGGCCUGCAGCCCGGCCCCGAGGCUCCCAGCCCUGCCGGCCCCGGCCCACCACACUCCUCUUGCCGGGGCACCUCUCUAAUCACCCCCCAGCCCGGGGAGGGAGCACUGACUGGGGUGGCCCGGCCGCAGGGUGAAGUCACCCGGUGACCCUGUCACCAAAAGGCCUCACCGUUUUUGGCAAGCCCAGCAGAACAGGGAUUCCCAACUGCUCAGCUCCUUCCAAGGCAAAGCUCCCUGGCUGGGAAAGGCCUCUGGUACAGUGUAUCCCACUGUCACCGCUUCAGAGCGAUCCACUGAGCUGGGAUUGGAACACACUGUGGAAGUGAUCCCACUCCUGACACCCUGCCAGCUAUCACAAGAUGCACAUUCACAGCUGCAAUAUAAUGUGGUUUCACUGAAGUCAGUAAUCUUAGGACCAGAUUCGCAAACCGAGAUCCAGCAGACAUUUGCAGGAAACAUAUCCCCUGUCUUGUGCAGCUCAUAGUCCUCAAUCCUUUCUGGAGGAGACUUCCUCUCCUACCAGCAAGGAUCAACUGCCGACAUCACCUGCUACUUUUCCUCCAUGCCUUAAGUGCUCAUCUCAACGCAGAACACAUCAAUUCCCAGAUCUGGAAGUCUUAAGCCCUCAGUUCUCGCUUAUUAGGGCUCCUAAUCACUGGGCUGUUCUCAUGGGGAAAAAUCCCCACCCCACCCCUCCUUUGAAGGCAUUUCACUUUGCAUAAAAAUGCACUAGGCCGGGGGAAGGAGAAGGAAGGAACGAGACUAUUAAGUCUGCUGGUUGCGGUGCUUGCCAAAGCCUGGAGCUCCCAUCUCCCAGUCAGCAGCGCUCAGAAGCAGAUUUAAUCAGGUUCCCACCAAGUCUUCCUUCACCCAAGAGAAAAAACGUUCUGCACGAAAAAGAGGUAACACUUUCAACUAUCUCUUUGCAUCCUAGAUGGUAAUUACAGAAUUGGAUACUCAUCUAUUCAGGUAAAACAGCGAUGCAACACUGAUCUGUACCCACUAACUUGCUAGAUAAAUAACAGGGACCUUCGAGUAACCCCUUUUUAAAGCAAGCCUAGGCCACCACUGUGUGCUAGGGGACAGCAACUUAGCCUUAGUAAAAUUGCAAAUUUUCACACCAUGUGCAUUGGUUACACAGCAAAGAAAAACGGGUAAUGAGGGUCUUGUAGAAGAGUCGGCAUUGCAUGGCAACGCAGUUCUCCUCUUUGGUCCGUAUUUAUUACUUUGCUUCACUCUGUAUGGAAGCAUGAGAGAUCAUCCAUCCCAUCUUACUGCUGCUCACCCCACCAAUGUUGCUCUCCGCAAAAAGCCACUGGACAUACAGAAGCAAAGGCAGUCAAAAACGUUAGUUGUCCCAACUGGCAAAACACAACAAAAACAAAACCAACCCAUAACAGUACAACUAUUUGCCCUGACAAAAUACUUCAGCCCAUGACUCAAAAAUGUUCAGAUUCUUUUUUAUUUUUUUUUACAUCCUCCUCCCUACCCUUCUAAUUCCCCUCCCUUUGCAAGGUUACAAUUUCCUUAAAUAUAUAUUGCACCAGCAGGCUGGGGGAAUGUGUUCCAGAUAAAACAGAUGAGCAGAAAUAAGUUCUUUUUCAGAAGGAUCAGCUGCUAAAUGCAUUCCAGUAGAGGUGUCAAACAGAUUUUAUGAAGAGAGCUAAUCACAUUUUUAAUUAUGGUCUUCAUGCUGACUUUACAGAGUUAGGGUAAAAAGCUAUUCUUGAUCAAAAGCAGAUAUCCUACUCACAUCAAUGGGUUUAUAAAAAGACUGAGAAUGGAAUUUAGACCAGAUGGAGAAAAUGAAAGAAAAGUUUAUUAACUGUAUCAUUUGGUGGAGAAACAAAUAGUUGUUGAUAUAUCUACAAAUCAGGUACUGACAAAUAUUGAACAAACUGGCUACCAGGAGUGCCACCAUCUUGUUCUAGAGUUAAAUGAGUUGUGGAAGUGUUAGAGCACGUUUUACCUCCUCAAUCGACAGCACAUUUUUUACACUAUUUCCACGCUGGCUGAAUUAGAAGGAUACGGUUCCCUACAUGUAGAUGUUCUCACAGUACAUAAGAAUAUUGCUGAAUACCAUUAGUGAUAAAUGAUAAUGGUAUAGCUUAUCCCUAUUAGAGAAGAUACUUGUGUAUCAUUAUAGCUGCCUAUACACCAGAUCACAGAUAAGGGAAAAAAAAUAAAUCUCUGCAGAAGAAAAUAUUUACCCUUCUAACAAAAACAGUUGGACUUGUAUAAACACCAUGUUCCACAUGGUUAAUUGUGCUUGCUGUUUAAUGGGAUCGUGUCACUUCACAUUUAUACUUUUAAGCUGUUAAACAUACACAUAUGCUAAAUUCAAAGCCUGGUGUGAAAUUCUGGUCAACCUGACAUCAGAAAAAGUUUUCUAACAAUCCUCCUGGGACAAAAAGAUAAUAAUAAUAACAAUAAUAAUGAUAGUAAUAAUAAUAAAAGAAAGUCCUAAACCUUACAAAUUCAAAUUCCAUAUUAAUGAGAAUUAAAUAUGUCCCGUACAGUUCUAUGUUUCAGGACAAUUUGUGAAGGAACUUGGGAUUUCCUUGGAGGAAACCAUGGGAAUUUUGCUUUUCCAGCUGUGAUAACAAGGUUCCAACAACAAAAUCUGAAGAGAUCACCCAAACUAGAAAUGAAGGAUCAGAACUGAGGGCAGCCAGAGGAUUACCCUGCUGUCCUACUAACUAUACUGCUGACUGCUGCUAUAACAUGAG
This 2949-nucleotide long non-coding RNA is filed under the name Gallus gallus (chicken). RNAcentral's name for it is "lncRNA (ENSGALG00010023709.1)". Lineage: Eukaryota; Metazoa; Chordata; Aves; Galliformes; Phasianidae. The record is from RNAcentral.